GGGGGUGUAGCUCAUCUGGUAGAGCGCGUGCUUAGCAUUUCCGCUUGAUGGUCACUUCGUGAUCGUCGACAACAUGUUCCUGCACGAGGUACUGGGUUCGACUCCCAGCUCCUCCA
Molecule: transfer RNA, 116 nt
Organism: Coniochaeta ligniaria NRRL 30616
Lineage: Eukaryota; Fungi; Ascomycota; Sordariomycetes; Coniochaetales; Coniochaetaceae
Rfam family: tRNA
About the family: Transfer RNA (tRNA) molecules are approximately 80 nucleotides in length. Their secondary structure includes four short double-helical elements and three loops (D, anti-codon, and T loops).
Source: Rfam